AGUGAAAUUGCUGGGUUAUAUGGGUUACUCACUGGGGAAACACCAAAUUUUUCCAAAGCUACACCAUUUUCCAUUCCCACCAACAAU
Molecule: microRNA precursor, 87 nt
Filed under: Marmota monax (woodchuck)
Lineage: Eukaryota; Metazoa; Chordata; Mammalia; Rodentia; Sciuridae
Source: RNAcentral